AUUGAACGCUGGCGGCAUGCCUUACACAUGCAAGUCGAACGGCAGCGCGGGAGCAAUCCUGGCGGCGAGUGGCGAACGGGUGAGUAAUAUAUCGGAACGUGCCCUGUAGCGGGGGAUAACCUAUCGAAAGAUGGACUAAUACCGCAUACGCUCUACGGAGGAAAGCGGGGGUCGCAAGACCUCGCACUAUAGGAGCGGCCGAUAUCGGAUUAGCUAGNGGCGGGUAAAGCCCACCAAGGCAACGAUCCGUAGCUGGUCUGAGAGGAUGAUCAGCCACACUGGAACUGAGACACGGUCCAGACUCCUACGGGAGGCAGCAGUGGGGAAUUUUGGACAAUGGGCGCAAGCCUGAUCCAGCCAUGCCGCGUGAGU
This 372-nucleotide ribosomal RNA is filed under the name uncultured bacterium. RNAcentral's name for it is "bacterial SSU rRNA". It matches the Rfam family "Bacterial small subunit ribosomal RNA", at positions 30 to 406 of the family's 1533-position model. The record is from RNAcentral.